GACAGAGGGUGCAAACGUUGUUCGGAAUUACUGGGCGUAAAGCGAGUGUAGGCGGUUUGGUAAGUCGGAUGUGAAAGCCCCGGGCUCAACCCGGGAAGUGCACUCGAUACUGUCAAGCUAGAGUAUCGGAGAGGUUGGUGGAAUUCUCGGUGUAGAGGUGAAAUUCGUAGAUAUCGAGAGGAACACCGGUGGCGAAGGCGGCCAACUGGACGAAUACUGACGCUGAGACUCGAAAGCGUGGGGAGCGAACGGG
RNAcentral lists this ribosomal RNA (253 nucleotides) under uncultured bacterium. RNAcentral's name for it is "partial 16S ribosomal RNA". It matches the Rfam family "Bacterial small subunit ribosomal RNA", at positions 524 to 776 of the family's 1533-position model. The record is from RNAcentral.